CACUAGCCAAGGGUUACGAUCCACUCCUGUUCUCUUCACGAAAGAACAGGAGUGGAUCGUAACCCUUGGCUAGC
Molecule: small RNA, 74 nt
Filed under: Mytilus galloprovincialis (Mediterranean mussel)
Lineage: Eukaryota; Metazoa; Mollusca; Bivalvia; Mytilida; Mytilidae
Source: RNAcentral